AAUCAACGCUGGCGGCGUGCCUCAGACAUGCAAGUCGAACGAUUAAAGCUCUCUUCGGAGAGUGCAUAAAGUGGCGCACGGGUGAGUAACACGUAAGUAAUCUACCUUCGAGUGGGGAAUAACGUCCGGAAACGGACGCUAAUACCGCAUAAUGCAGCGGCAUCGCAAGAUGACAGUUGUUAAAGAUUUAUCGCUUGAAGAGGAGCUUGCGGCAGAUUAGCUAGUUGGUAAGGUAAUGGCUUACCAAGGCUACGAUCUGUAACCGGUCUAAGAGGACGGUCGGUCACACUGACACUGAAUAACGGGUCAGACUCCUACGGGAGGCAGCAGUCGGGAAUUUUGGGCAAUGGGCGAAAGCCUGACCCAGCAACGCCGCGUGAAGGAUGAAGUAUUUCGGUAUGUAAACUUCGAAAGAAUGGGAAGAAUAAAUGACGGUACCAUUUAUAAGGUCCGGCUAACUACGUGCCAG
This 469-nucleotide ribosomal RNA is filed under the name uncultured bacterium. RNAcentral describes it as "bacterial SSU rRNA". It matches the Rfam family "Bacterial small subunit ribosomal RNA", at positions 32 to 511 of the family's 1533-position model. The record is from RNAcentral.